UACGUAGGGGGCAAGCGUUGUCCGGAUUUAUUGGGCGUAAAGCGCUCGCAGGUGGUUCGUUGCGUCGUGCGUGAAAGACCCCGGCUCAACUGGGGGAUGUCGUGCGAUACGGGCGGACUGGAGGCCAGUAGGGGGAUGCGGAAUUCCGGGUGUAGUGGUGGAAUGCGUAGAGAUCCGGAGGAACACCAGCGGCGAAGGCGGCAUCCUGGACCGGCCCUGACACUGAGACGCGAAGGCGUGGGGAGCGAACGGG
This 253-nucleotide ribosomal RNA is filed under the name uncultured bacterium. RNAcentral describes it as "partial 16S ribosomal RNA". It matches the Rfam family "Bacterial small subunit ribosomal RNA", at positions 524 to 776 of the family's 1533-position model. The record is from RNAcentral.